ACAUGCAAGUCGAACGAUAAGCCACCUUCGGGUGGUGGGACAGUGGCGCACGGGUGAGUAACACGUGGGGACCUACCUGAUAGUACGGAAAAACAGUUGGAAACGGCUGCUAAUACCGUAUACGCUCUUCGGAGGAAAGAUUUAUCGCUAUCAGAUGGACCCGCGCUAGAUUAGAUAGUUGGUGAGGUAAUGGCUCACCAAGUCUACGAUCUAUAGUUGGUUUGAGAAGAUGACCAGCCACAUUGGGACUGAGACACGGCCCAAACUCC
This 269-nucleotide ribosomal RNA is filed under the name unidentified marine bacterioplankton. Its description in RNAcentral is "partial 16S ribosomal RNA". It matches the Rfam family "Bacterial small subunit ribosomal RNA", at positions 53 to 339 of the family's 1533-position model. The record is from RNAcentral.